RNAcentral lists this transfer RNA (72 nucleotides) under Stegodyphus mimosarum. It matches the Rfam family "tRNA". From Rfam's summary of the family: Transfer RNA (tRNA) molecules are approximately 80 nucleotides in length. Lineage: Eukaryota; Metazoa; Arthropoda; Arachnida; Araneae; Eresidae. The record is from Rfam by way of RNAcentral.
ACCUUCGUGGUGUAGUGGUCAGCACGCUGGGCGUGAAAUUAGAGGUCCGUGGUUCGAGUCCCGGCGAAGGCG